This 400-nucleotide ribosomal RNA is filed under the name phytoplankton environmental sample. RNAcentral describes it as "partial small subunit ribosomal RNA". It matches the Rfam family "Eukaryotic small subunit ribosomal RNA", at positions 587 to 993 of the family's 1831-position model. The record is from RNAcentral.
AGCUCCAAUAGCGUAUAUUAAAAUUGUUGUGGUUAAGAAGCUCGUAGUUGGAUUUCUGCUGAGGACGACCGGUCCGCCCUCUGGGUGAGCAUCUGGCUUGGCCUUGGCAUUUGCUUGGACAACACUACUGCACUUGAUUGUGUGGUGUGGUAUCCAAGGUCUUUACUUUGAGGAAAUCAGAGUGCUUACAGCAGGCAUCUGCCGUGAAUACAGUAGCAUGGAAUAAUAAGAUAAACUUUGGUUUUAUUUUGUUGGUUUUAGAACUGAAGUGAUGAUUAACAGGGACAGUUGGGGGCAGUUGUAUUUAACUGUCAGAGGUGAAAUUCUUGGAUUUGUUAAAGACAAACUAUUGCGAAAGCAUUUGCCAAGGAUGUUUUCUUUGAUCAAGAACGAAAGUACG